GCCUGGGUGGCUCAGUCGGUUGAGCAUCCGACUUCAGCUCAGGUCAGGAUCCCGGGGUUCGUGGGUUCGAGCCCCGCGUCGGGCU
RNAcentral lists this transfer RNA (85 nucleotides) under Felis catus (domestic cat). It matches the Rfam family "tRNA". Rfam says of the family: Transfer RNA (tRNA) molecules are approximately 80 nucleotides in length. Their secondary structure includes four short double-helical elements and three loops (D, anti-codon, and T loops). Further hydrogen bonds mediate the characteristic L-shaped molecular structure. tRNAs have two regions of fundamental functional importance: the anti-codon, which is responsible for specific mRNA codon recognition, and the 3' end, to which the tRNAs corresponding amino acid is attached (by aminoacyl-tRNA synthetases). tRNAs cope with the degeneracy of the genetic code in two manners: having more than one tRNA (with a specific anti-codon) for a particular amino acid; and 'wobble' base-pairing, i.e. permitting non-standard base-pairing at the 3rd anti-codon position. The record is from Rfam by way of RNAcentral. Lineage: Eukaryota; Metazoa; Chordata; Mammalia; Carnivora; Felidae.